This is an RNA transcript of Cercocebus atys (sooty mangabey), 8218 nucleotides long. It is a transcript of the gene named 60S ribosomal protein L22 pseudogene, with no coding region annotated. The transcript has 5 exons. The record is from RefSeq and is a predicted model, not a curated record. Lineage: Eukaryota; Metazoa; Chordata; Mammalia; Primates; Cercopithecidae.
AAAGUGCUGCGACCACCGGUGUGAGCCACCGUGCCUGGCCAAGGGACUUAUUUCCCUUGGAGGUGGACUAAGGAGCUUCCAAAUCCACCUUAGGAACUCAGCCCAAUUCUUUAAUGGCUGAAAUGAACUCCUAGUCUUCACAUUUCUACUUCGAUUUCUCAAGACCUCUUAACUGGAAUUCACACACCCUAAAGCAAGGGAGGAAGAAAAGAGGAGAGUGGGGAUGGGUGGGGAUUUUGCAGUCUCUGUGUUCAUUAAAAAUAAUGACUUACGGGGCUUCUCACUCCCCACUGUCCAUACAAAUUCAGGUCACCUUCCUACUGACAUGGGAGGACCUAGGGAAACAAUGACCUGGUUUCAGAACACAGGACACUUUCCCCUUAACCACCCAGGAUGGCCAUGGAAUGGGAGUCCUAAUCACAUAAGGCACAUUCGCAGUAAAAGGAUGUCUAACCACCAGAAGGAAAGACUGGAAGAUGGGCAAGACAGUUACCCUAAAAAUGUCAAAGCUUGUCUUUGCUACAGAGACGAUACUCUGUGUUGUUUCAAAGAGUAGAAUAUUGAUGGAUUAAAAGAAAUUUCAGUGAGACAAGUUUUAGUAUCUAAGGAAGAAACCCCUAAAGACGGAGGUGGUAGGGUGAAUGGCUAAGACUGCAGGCUUUGGAAUUACAGCCCCAGUGGUUGAGAGAUCCCAGUUGGCUACAUACCACUAUGUGACCAUGGGCAAGUGAUGUAACUGUUCCAAGGCUGACUUUUCUGUCUCACAGAGUUGUAUAGAUCAAAUGAAAUUAUAUAUAUGUAAGUUCAUGUAAGGCAGGGACCUUGUCCUUCAUAUUAACUGCUGUAUACCCAGCCCCCAAGCCUGGGGUCUGGUGUAUAAUAAGUGCUCAAUAAACAUUAAUGGAAUUAUUGAAUUUGUUGGAUCCUUAACAAGAGACAGAUACUGGGACAAGCAUUUUCAUUCGUUUCAAACACAUUUGUGGAACAUCUACUAUGUGCUGGGCUCAUCAUGGUAAUCCUUUCUGUGAUUACUGAUACCAUUAUUAUUAUAGUUGUUUUGGUGGUGGUAGUGGUGGUGGUUGUCAAAAAGUUUGCUUCAGAUGGUGGUGAAUAUCCCUAUCAUUGGAAAUGCCUAGCUCAUGUGGGAUGACAAGCUGGUAGUAUUGACAGGGGAAUUUACGCACCUAUGAAGGGUUUGGGGUCAUAUCCAUAUCCAAAAUCAAAAUUCUGAUUUUUACAGAAAUCUUGGGCUUGUUAGUACCACUUCAUACUUUUGGUGGGGAUAUGACACUGUAUGUCUGUAUAAGAUAGUGAGCAUUACAGUGCUAAUGAAUAAUUCCAAGGCCAUAUAAAUGCCACAAGGUAGGCUAAACUCCUUUAAUCCCUGUAGCAUUAUCUUUGGCUUUUUUAAGUCUGGUACCACUGUCCGAGCUAGAUCUUAGAGUUGCUGCUCCGUGCCUGGGCCUGGGCCACACUAUUCAUCCGGGUGAAAUGGAAAAUUCUGUUCCAAACAUGGACAUCUGCCUUCCCAAAGGGGUUUAGGAAAUCUCUAGUUGGUUGAUUGAAACAUUCAGUUUUCAUCCUAGCUGUCUGGAGUAGGCACAGUCUGGUGGUGAAAGAGAACAGCUGUAAGGAGAGGAUUUCCUUAUAGUGAAUCUGGAGGUCACCCACAACCUGUGAAAGCUCUGGGAGCUGCUUUUGGCUGCUCCACAUCUUGGCCUUCCUGUCUGCUCUGCAGCUGAGUUUCCUUGCCAUGGAGGGGGCACUCCCAUGUAUUUUGGCUGUAGGGACUCUGAUUUCAAGAUGUCCUAAAGAGUUCCUGGCUAAAAGCCACCUGACUUAUUUCCCUUGGAGGUGGACUAAGGAGCUUCCAAAUCCACUUUAGGAACUCAGCCCAAUGUCUAAAUUUGUAAUGUUCUUCCCAGUACCUUCCUUGAAAGUAUUCUGCAAGUUUCAAUUCUCACUUUCUUCCUUGGAAGAAGGUAUUACAAGUCCCAUUUACCUGAUCCUUAAGAUUUAUUGGUCAAGGGGCUACCUAAGGAACAGCCCCAGGUUAACAGCAGCUUAGCCACUCAAGCUUUCCCAUUGGGAUGGCAAGAUCUUGGCUGAGCAUCUUAGCAUGAGGCCUAUAUUCUUUUCCCUUCUUUUGGCCAGUCCUUACCCUAGGAAUUCAUCCUCUGACUGCAAGGUUACUGCUUGUCUCUAGCCCCUGACCUCCUUUUAAAAACUCCUGACUGAGUUUUUAAAUUUGUAAUUCAUCCAUCUUUACACCAACAUCUGUUGAAUACCCUUUGUUUUUAGCCUCUGCCUUAGAGUCUGUAUCCAAUUUUGUCUACCUCAGAUGCAUCCAUCCAGCCAUCUUCUGGUGUCCCAUUGAGGGCUGGCUUCAAGGGUGGGCAACUUGCGCUGUUGUAUAGAGCCACACACUCAGAAGGAACCUGCACUUCAUUUAAUAACCUGCUAUUGCCUUCUUGAAAUUCUUAGUCGCUUUAUCUUUAAGCUUGCGAUUUGUUUAAGUGAAGUCUGAUGGGACAACACAGCGUGAGCAGGGACAGAGAAGAUGGGCACAAUGCCACUCGUUGCUGCCCCAUUUGCAUACAGCAUUCACGAUGCCCCAUGAGCAAAGAAUUCUAGGAGCCCCACGAUGCGUAAGAGUUCAUCAAGACUUAAUUACGCCCAUAACCAAGUGAAUAUGCUGCCAGUCCCAAAGGGCCAUUCUUUCUAUUCAAACUAGAAAUGGCUUCAAACGUGGAAAAAAAAGUUUUCAGAAACACAAAUAAUCUAGGAACCCUAUCAUAUCCUUUCCUACCUAUGUUGCUUUCCCAUAUUAGCCAACCACUCAUGCUGAAAAUGAUGACACAGAAGGAAAGGGUAGGGUCACGUGUAGUCCCUUUUCGUUUCCUGGCUCAUCUGAAAGCCUGGUAGAAAGUGCACAUAUGAAGUAUGCAUAUAAAGUACACAUAUAAAAAAGGGAAAUAAAAAUAGUUCAGUUUAUUUGGUGCAGCAUUUCCACUGUUCUAGUAAGAAUAAAUACAUAUGCAUGUAGGAGCUACAGAAGUAUAAAUUGUAUAAUUUUCAUAAUUCCUCAUAUAAGUAAAGUGUUCCUGUAAGUUCAUUUAAAACUGGCACCACACAAUAUAAAGAACAGUAAAAUCUAUACUAAUAAUUAAAUUUUUAAAUUUUUUUAUUUGCAAUGACAUUAAAUAGCAAAUACAAAGCACCAUGUCAAGUCGAGAGAAAGAAUGAAAGAAAAAAGCUUUAUCUUUUAGGAUCGUCAGCGACACUUCCUGCCUGCCUUUUCAACAAAGAGUCCUACAUUUCAUUUUGCGCUGGGCCCUGCAAAUUAUGUGGCUGGCUCCGAUCCCAUGGCUUUAAGACAUGUCCACAAGCAUUGAAAAGCUUGUUUCAAACCAGCACCAUCCCAGGCCUUUUCCCAGUGUGACUUCCUUCUAGGCCUUGCCACAUCCCUAUCCCAAGGCUUCAAUUGGGAUCAAUGGAUAUUAGGUGCCCCUUUGGUAAGAUCAACAAAAAUCUCCUAAACAUAGCUCUCAGUAGAUGGGAAAAUGAAGGUAAAAUAAAAUGGCAGGGGCUUAUCCAAGGUCACAAGGUAUCCCAGGGACAGAGACACAAGCUCCUAGCCUUCAGGUCCAAUGCCAUGGUUUGUUGAUUUCCAUCUCUACUGCUGGCCUUGAACAUCAUUUGAAGAUACCAGCAAAAUCAUUGUGUGUUAUAUCCCUUUGAUCAUACUUCAGCUAGGGCCACCACAGCCCCACAGGAACCAAUGUAGGGCAAAAGGCUCUGCCCUUCAAAGGGUCCUACACAGAACAUUCCAAGGCCCCAGGGGAGUCCUGUAUCUUGUUCAAUGUCAAGAAGAGUCCAUCAACAGGCCAAUACAUGCUUCCUCUGUAGGCUCUGUAAAGAUCAGAUUCCUAUGUCUCCCCAGGAAGGUCAGGCUAUCUUUUCCAACCAUUGUAUCAGGAUCACCUGAAAUUCUGUAGAAACAGAAUACUCCCCACCUAUUUCUUUGAAUUUCUUGGAAAAUAAGAUACACAAAAAUCACAUCCAGGGGCCCAGCACAACUGGUCAGAUCCCUUCCAACCAAAAAGAAAUCCCAGCCAGAAGAGACCACAGCCUGGAGCCGUUUGCAAAUUGCCUGCACAUCCUUCAUGUGUCCCCUCAAGUCAUCCAAACGGAUUUUUAGACCAACAUCUCUUAGCACAUUCUAGCUGUCCCUUUGCUAUUCUUUUGGAGGCUUCCAUGUGGAGUACAAGGGUUUACUGAGCCUAGAUUUACUCCAGAAGCCUCAUAACCACCUCUUGUUUGGAGCAGCGAUGCCCUUAGCAACACAGCUUAAUUUUCCAGGUACUUCUGGGCUAGUAGUCCAACUUCCUCCUAAAACCCAGUCCUCUCUCUCCAUACACAGCUUUGUGUAGAAGGAGGACAGAUCCUUGAUUAAAUAUAUUCAGACUGCCCCAGAACCUGGAGCUUGUUGGGCUACUCAGCUGGUGCUGCAACCCUGGUGGAAGGGUCAACUGCCUUUCUUCCAGAAUAAAACUCCAGUUGCUGGUCUCCUUCCUUUUAGCAGGCACACAGGGCAAAAGAUAUCUCAUGGGCCAUGCUGCACUGUUCUGGCUCUAACAGCAAUACCAGUGAUCAUCUUUCCUUUCUUUCUAGUCAAUGAGAAGUAUAAAUACACAUUAAAACUUUUCUGUUGCCAUUUAAAAUAAUCUUCAUGAAAAUAUUUUCACGAAAUGUGAAAAAUGCUGCUGACAUAAGUAAACGGGAUUAAAAGCAGGAUACCUGAUUGUAUACACAGAAGGACCUCAGCUUUGUAAACUGUUUACAUUUAUUCACAGAAAAAAAUACAGGAAGGAAAUACACCACAAUGGGUUUCUAACUGGAUUACAGGUAAUUGCGUAUUUUCUUCUUUAAAUGUUUUAGUAUUUUACAAAAGAAAAUACAUAUUACAGGCAUUGAUUAUUUUGUAAUCUAACCAAAAAGGAUAUUUUCUUAUUAGCUAGGACUUCUGAAAUAGUCAUCACUGAUUUUAUACAUAGCCCUGAAGGAAACAAACGUAAGGCUUCUACUUCUCCCCAGAGUGACUUUUAAGUGGAACCAUCCUCCUAGCUCAAUUUUCUAUACAGGAUACAGAUUUUGGUUUUGACAAAACUGCUUUGCUUAUAAUCACUCUUUUCUUUCUUUUGUGAAACUUGACAUCUGGAAAUAGCCAGUUAGAGCCUUGAAUCAAAGUAUUCUAUUUCUUUCUCCUGGUUACCAGGCCUGAGAUCUCCCAAAGGAAUUUCCAAAGUGCAAGGCUUUGGAGCCCACCUGAAACUGGGCUCAAGUGAGACAGAGGACCAGAGGAUGCUGACUUUGUGUAUCAAAGUAUGAUGACAAGAACAUUGUCUUUGGAGAAUAAUGGCUCCGGAGCCUUGAGCUUUUUCUCUGCAAAACUGAUGAUCAUAUUUCUUUUAUAUAGAUUAUAAAGAUUUAAAGAGACAAGGUAUGGAGGAUGCCUAACAGCACACACAAUUAAUUAUUAAUAUAAGUGGUGAGCACCGGAGAAGGCAGCAGAGGGGAAAAUCUGCUAUUGCUACUUUCCAUUCUCUCACUGUUGAAGUUUUCCAGUGUGAGGUGAGGAUGGGAGUGGUGGAGCUGUCCAGAUUUCAGCCCCACCCUGACUGGGCUGGCCUGACCAAGGACACAUCUUUGAUUUCACCGUGGAAAUGUAACCAUGUCUAGGGUGGAGGGCAGGCAGUGCUAGCCACUGGCUGGCAGCCCUAGAAUGUCCAUGGAUAAUACUGACUAAAUAUAAGACUCCAUUACCACUCCAAAGUCACCGCAUUAGCAAUCCACAGUGCCUCUUCCUCCACCCAUGGCUGCUCUGCCCUUUAACUAUUCAUGGGGCAGCAGCCAGUAUGCCAGAGACUUACGGGAACUAAAAGACUCAAGCUGUAUCUUAUAAUGGAUUGAAAGAGUCAAUUUUUGCUGUACUACAAUUUUAUCUGCUGCUAUUACUGCUAGUAUUGCUAUUAGCACCACCAUUCCUCCAACUGCUGCUACUACUACUCUAUUAAUCCUUUAAGUCUGUAAACUACUUUACAAUUUACAAAGUACCUCCGUAGCCUGAUCAAAAAUGAGACUCGGCAUGGCAUUCCGAGAAGACAGAGGUACAUUGGUACUAGAAACCUCAGAGGGAACAGAGAGAUCUGCAUUUAAGAACAGAGCAGAAUUGCCAGGAUUUAUUUUUACCCCCCUAACUGCCUGGGCUUCAUACACAUUCACCAUCCUCUGCCACACCCAGUCACUCUUCCACCCCUACCCUGCUCUAACUGUCCAUAGACAGUUUAGGCAACCUCACAUGUUAGGAACUAGGAGGAACUUCCCUUUAUUUGGUCGGAGAAGGUUGACCAUGCCAAAAUCUCACCAAAUGGGGCAAGAGAAGAGAAUGCUUUUCAAGUUGCCUUUGCCAACCUCUCCCACCUUCUCACAGGAAGGCCCUGGCACAAGCCAGACUCUUCCUUUUUUAAGAGACUUUAAAUAUUCCUGCGCCUAAAUUAAAAAUUUUUUAAAUGCCUGAUUUUGGCCCUUAUCCCCAAAGGGAAUGUUGGAAUGUACACCUUCUUUGCCCAAGAGAAGGGCCCCCUUUUCCUUCACCCCCUAGCAGCCAGCUGGCGAGAGGACUGAUGCUACACAUAGUGAGAAAGGGGCAGGGAGGAGAGGGAGAAUGCAGCAUAGUUCAAGCCCAACCAUGAACCAAGCUUCCUUUGAGAUUGGGAUCUUCACCUGGCAACCAGGAGCCCUAGCAGAGCUCAGAAAGAAGAAAGUGGCAUUCUGGAAUCCAUUUUGCUCAAGAUGCUGAAGGCAUGGUAUCAGACUCCCCUUUGCUACUGGGGCCAAAAAACUUGGGGAAGAUCUUACCUACAGGGAUGCGGUUAGUUGGGGAAAAGGCGAGGACAAGUCCUGGUGCUAAUGCUACCUGAGAGCAGACAGAAUAUUAGGUCUUCCAGUCAAAGUCACCCAGAUUUGCCAAAAGAGCUGGCACAAAUGUCACUUCCACUAUGAAGUCCCACUGACUUCCAUAUACAAGUCACAAGUGAUGAUGCCCCAUCUGGAUUGGUAAAGAACUCACAGCAAGAAAAAUUAUUGAUGUGGAAAAACUCAGGACAGCAUUCCUUGGUGACCACUUACCACUUUUGCAUUUACCCAGCAGCCCAUUGAAGCGCUUGCACCUGUGUGCCUGGGGAAGCUGGGGAGAAUAUAUCUUCUUUUACCCCUCCAAGUAUUGGAUUAUAUGGCCAUUCUGUACCUGCCCACAACUGAGAGCUGAAUGCAUAAAUAAAUGAAGACUGCAAAUGGUUUGUUUGAGUGAUUUGUCCAUGAAUCAGACAAAUAUUUUCAGUUUAGGUCAGCAAGGUGGCUCAGCACCUGUGGUCAGUCAUUCAGAGACCCCACCCCCGCAACUCCCUAUGACCACCACUUUCAAUCCAUGACCUUAGGUUUUCUGGCAUCUAGCUGGUGAAUACAGAGAGAGAAGGUGAAGAUGGAACCAGUGUUUUUCGCUAUCUUGGUCUGGAGGUAACACUUAUCACUUCCAUUCACAGUCCCUUCAUGAGAACUGGCUACGUAGCUCCAUCCAGGUGCAACAGUGGUGGAAAAUAUAGCUUAGCUGUAUACCCAAGUAGCUAAUAAGUUUGGUGAGAAGCUAGCUCAUCUGCUUCAGUCAGUCUCCUCAUUUAAAAAUGGGAGUAAUACUUUCUAACUCGGCUGCGGCCAUGGCUCCUGUGAAAAAGCUUGUGGCGAAGGGGGCAAAAAAAAGAAGCAGGUUCUGAAGUUCACUCUUGAUUGCACCCACCCUGUAGAAGAUGGAAUCAUGGAUGUUGCCAAUUUUGAGCAGUUUUUGCAAGAAAGGAUCAAAGUAAAUGGAAAAGCUGGGAACCUUGGUGGAGGGGUGGUGACCAUCGAAAGGAGCAAGAACAAGAUCACCGUGACAUCUGAGGUGCUUUCUCCAAAAGGCAUUUGAAAUAUCUCACCAAAAAACAUUUGAAGAAGAAUAAUCUACAUGACUGGUUGCGCGUGGUUGCUAAUAGCAAAGAGAGUUAUGAAUUACGUUACUUCCAGAUUAACCAGGACGAAGAAGAGGAGGAAGAUGAGGAUUAAAUUUCAUUUAUCCAGAAUAUUUUGUAUGAUUUCUUGAAUAAAAUUUGGGAACGAAAAA